GCCGGGGUGGCUUAGCUUGGUCAUAGCGCCGGACUCAUAUUCCGGAGGUCGCGGGCUCGAAUCCCGCCCCCGGCA
Molecule: transfer RNA, 75 nt
Filed under: Nitrososphaerota archaeon
Lineage: Archaea; Thermoproteati; Nitrososphaerota
Description: Thaumarchaeota archaeon tRNA-Met
Rfam family: tRNA
About the family: Transfer RNA (tRNA) molecules are approximately 80 nucleotides in length. Their secondary structure includes four short double-helical elements and three loops (D, anti-codon, and T loops).
Source: RNAcentral